Molecule: ribosomal RNA, 253 nt
Filed under: uncultured bacterium
Lineage: Bacteria
Description: partial 16S ribosomal RNA
Rfam family: Bacterial small subunit ribosomal RNA
Source: RNAcentral
UACGUAGGGGGCAAGCGUUAUCCGGAUUUACUGGGUGUAAAGGGAGCGUAGACGGCAAUGCAAGUCUGAAGUGAAACCCCAAGGCUCAACCAUGGGCAUGCUUUGGAAACUGUGUAGCUAGAGUGCAGGAGAGGCAGGCGGAAUGCGCGGUGUAGCGGUGAAAUGCAUAGAUAUCGCGCAGAACCCCGAUUGCGAAGGCAGCCUGCCGGCCCCACACUGACGCUGAGGCACGAAAGCGUGGGUAUCGAACAGG